CCCCUAGUAACUGCGAGUGAAGCGGGAAAAGCUCAAAUUUAAAAUCUGGCGGUCUUUGGCCGUCCGAGUUGUAAUCUAGAGAAGUGYUAUCCGCGCUGGACCGUGUACAAGUCUCCUGGAAUGGAGCGUCAUAGAGGGUGAGAAUCCCGUCUUUGACACGGACUGCCAGGGCUUUGUGAUGBGCUCUCAAAGAGUCGAGUUGUUUGGGAAUGCAGCUCAAAAUGGGUGGUAAAUUCCAUCUAAAGCUAAAUAUUGGCGAGAGACCGAUAGCGAACAAGUACCGUGAGGGAAAGAUGAAAAGAACUUUGGAAAGAGAGUUAAACAGUACGUGAAAUUGCUGAAAGGGAAACGCUUGAAGUCAGUCGCGUUGUCCAGGGAUCAUCCUUGCUUUUGCUUGGUGCACUUUCUGGUUGACGGGUCAGCAUCAAUUUUGACCAUUGGAAAAAGAUUAGGGGAAUGUGGCAUCUUCGGAUGUGUUAUAGCCCUUAGUUGCAUACAAUGGUUGGGAUUGAGGAACUCAGCACGCCGCAAGGCCGGGUUUUUAACCACGUACGUGCUUAGGAUGCUGGCAUAAUGGCUUUAAUCGACCCGUCUUGAAACACGGACCAAGGAGUCUAACAUGCCUGCGAGUGUUUGGGUGGAAAACCCGAGCGCGUAAUGAAAGUGAAAGUUGAGAUCCCUGUCGUGGGGAGCAUCGACGCCCGGACCAGACCUUUUGUGACGGUUCCGCGGUAGAGCAUGUAUGUUGGGACCCGAAAGAUGGUGAACUAUGCCUGAAUAGGGUGAAGCCAGAGGAAACUCUGGUGGAGGCUCGUAGCGAUUCUGACGUGCA
RNAcentral lists this ribosomal RNA (832 nucleotides) under Cortinarius austrovenetus. RNAcentral's name for it is "eukaryotic LSU rRNA". It matches the Rfam family "Eukaryotic large subunit ribosomal RNA", at positions 77 to 895 of the family's 3401-position model. Lineage: Eukaryota; Fungi; Basidiomycota; Agaricomycetes; Agaricales; Cortinariaceae. The record is from RNAcentral.